CUUUUGCCAAAGAUCAGGCGAAAUCUCCAUAACCGCAGCAAGACCCUAAUCUGCACUCCCACCUUCAAAAAGACCCUCUCUUCUCCAACAAGCAUUUAAAUGAUAAUUAAUACUUAAGCUGCCAAUUGUAACGGUAGGCCACAAAGAGGAGAGCCUGCACUAUGUCUGACUAUUUCACUUCUUAUACGAAAUAACCGUCCGCCCUAAGGCUGACAGACAGGCUACUUUCAGGCCCCAUGAAUAACAACUAGGCUUGGAAAACGCUGUGGCCCCACUCAAGUAGGUGUCAGGAAGUCAAGUGGGUUUUGUGUUAUCUCUUCGUACUUUCAGCUGCCUAUUAGCAUAGCUAUUCAGACGGCACGGCCCAUGGACCACAAUGGGAAUAGAAAGGGGGAGCCAAUCUCUCUCUCCUUCUCUUACUCCCCUCUUUAUGUCUUUCACUCUUGAGUCUUUCUCUCUCCUCGCUCCCUCACUCCUGACUAAUCCGCUAAGUCCCAUGGGGGGCUAGAAGUCGUUGAGUUCUGAAGUGGCUUUUUGUCUUUUAGUUUUGUGUCGGGAAGUGGAAAGUCCACCUGCUCCGAAGAAUUUCAAAAAGGUGGUGUGAGUGGACUUUGUGAGGGUGCAUGUGAGUGAAUGGGUGAGUGUGCACGCCUGCUCCUUAGCUAUGCUUGGAGAGCAGAGCUUAUGAGAUAUCUUGGGAAGACUUACAUUCAAAGGGUAAUUUAUAUGAGAAAGAAAUGAGUAAAAUAACUCCAGAGACCUUUAAAUAAAUAGAUCUGGUGUUUAUACUGGUUCUGGACUUGGGUGCUUUCUUUUUCUCCUGAAAGAGUAGCGGUAUGCCAUUUAUCAUGGAAUAGUGUAGGACAGAGUGGAAAUCAAUUACUCGUAAAUGAUGGAUGAGUGAAGUUUCUUUGCACAGACUGACAGACUUCUUUUGUUGUAAUGUACUGUUAUUUCAUAUUUUGUUUCAUUUAUGACAAGGAAAUCAUCCAUAUCUUUAGCAGUUGCCUCUUUUGAGUCUUUGUAUUACUGCACUCAAGAAACCACUGUAAUUCAAUCAUAGAGCUUAACUCAUGAACUUUAAAUAAGCACUGUGUUUUGCACUUAUUCCACUGACAGCUAAAUGAAGGAGGCGGUCUUACAACAGGACUGUGAAACUACAGAAAAACAAACAUUUCAUCAAGAAAGCCAAGAAGUUUGAGCUGCUAUAACUGAAAAAGAGAUCAAUAUUAUUUCAAUACAUAAUCAUUUAUAUAAUUUAGGAUAAUGAUAUAAAUACUCAUUAUACUUACAAGAUCCCCAGUGUAACUGAAAGCCUACAUCUGGUGUUGAUUGCAUGUUUCGACUCCUCAUGCCCCACCAUCAGUUUCCCGGUUCAGCGAGCAAAGACUGUAGAAAAAUGAGAAGUUUCAUUUCAAUCAAAUCUCAAUCAAACAAUCAAUCAAGCUCCAAUACACAAGUGUUAUCCCAAGAGGCUUAACAAAAAAAGGUGGUAUUGACAUGAUUCUGUUUCGAAAGACCCAAAGUACUGUGAGAUCAGACCAUAGACUGUAUAUACCAUGGACAACUUUGAAGCCUAAAAGCUCUCUGUUUUUCCAGGUUUUUUCUCCACUUCCUGAAACCAACUUAAAUGACGACGUCAGACCCCUUUUUUUCCUUGACGAAAAUGAGACUAAGACGAACGUCACCAAAGCUCUGUAAAGACUAAAAUGUGACGAAAAUUGUAUUCAUUUUCGUCAGACGAGAACGAGACGAGACUAAAUUGUUAUUAGGUGGACGAACAAAGUUUCAAAACAUGCUUUUUUUUGUCCUAACAGUCACGCCCCCAUCACACACGCACCAAAAGCCUCGCUCGCGCACAUUUGCGCGCACACACUCAUACACAUACACAGAGCGGCAGGUGGACGAGGCGCGCACACACACACACACACCAUGGCGGCAGGCACAGCAGCGGUGCCCGUUGGCCAAAAAAAGAGGGAUGAUUUAUGGUCCUACUUCAGAUACAGUCCAAGUGACAAUAAAACACAAUGUCUUAUACGGGGACGGGGAGACGAGACAGAAGACAGUUGUGGAGCCACAGCUUCCUCACGCUGCGGCUUCAAACUGUCGGGAAAGAACACCACAAACCUCAAAAGGCACCUUUUCAUCGACUAAAACUAGACUAAAACCAUCAAGGAUAGAAAUGACUAAAAUGGGACUAAAACGAAGAAGCAUUUUGUCAAAAUGACUAAGACUAAAACUAAAUCUAAAAUUCCUUCCAAAAACAACACUGCCUGAAACCAACAUUGCUCAGUAACGUUGUACGCACUCCACCACUUGCGCAGUUGCAUUGUUUGCAUUUGGCGGAAGAGUCUCUGAGAGUUGCUGUGAUGACGCUCGGCUCAAACAGCAUAUCCCCCAGGUAAGCUAUGCAAUCUUUGUACAACCAUAUGCUGUAUCAAGUGUCAAUCAUAGAGGACAUGAACCCCCUGAUAACUUUUAAAAGUAGAGCUGCACAGAAAAAAGAGGACCUGAGCAGAAAAACCAGUCUCACUGUAACUACAUGUCAACAUCGCAAGCAGGGGGAGAAAAAUGUAUAUUUUGUGUAAUAAAUUUCUAAAGUUUGCCCACAGCUCUAUAGGGAUGGCUGGAGAAGGCAGGAUUUAUGACCUAUACUGCAGCCCGUCACCAGAGGGUGCUGUUCUAGGGGUGGCUUCACCCAGCGAGGAGGCAGACGGCGUCCAUUCUAUAUACAGUCUAUGGAUCAGACCCCUUUCCACCCCACCUUCAACCACAUAAAUGUAAAGCUUCACAACAUUCAUCAAGUUACAGUGAAGAGGAAGAACUUCCUUUAACAGGCAGAAACCUCGAGUAGAACCAGACUAAUGUUAGACAGUCAUCUGCUGAGACUGAGAGGGUUUAAAGAGGGGAGAGAGGGAGAUGAAGCAUCUGGAAAGCAGGCAGGACUACAACAGAAAAACAUCUGCAGGAGUGAUCGAGAGAAACUUACACGAUGAUGGAACUCAUAUGUAUUAGUGACUCCAAUGGGAUCAAAUCAUAGUUCAGCUGCCUCAUGUGAUCAUUUCUAUUAAUACCAUGCCCCUCCCCCUCCCCGUUUGCUUGAAUUACCAGGUUUAACUGGUGUAAAUUUAAUUAAAUAGUUAUUGCCUCCAUCAACACACACAUCGCAACGCAAUAGCACA
Molecule: non-coding RNA, 3182 nt
Organism: Xyrichtys novacula (pearly razorfish)
Lineage: Eukaryota; Metazoa; Chordata; Actinopteri; Labriformes; Labridae
Source: the annotation of a GenBank genome assembly